GAUUGCAAAUUAUAUACUUAUUACUUCACACAUUAUUUAAAUGUGGAGUGUUUCCGUUUUUCACAGGAGCGAGCCAGUCGUGAGGUGAUUAACGUGUCCCAGCUGGUGAUCCCUGCUGAACUGGGAGGGCUGCUGCAGGCCACUGCAGCUGGUAAGGAGUUGCAUUCAGAGUGCCUGGCUUUGGUUCAGGCUCCGAGAGUACAGGUCGAUCCUCAGCUCACUCUCCCUCUGGAUAUCAACAACCACCUAAUGAC
Long non-coding RNA from Pygocentrus nattereri (red-bellied piranha), 254 nucleotides. NCBI's taxonomy places the organism in Eukaryota, Metazoa, Chordata, Actinopteri, Characiformes, Serrasalmidae. The record is from Ensembl.